This 154-nucleotide small nucleolar RNA is filed under the name Microcebus murinus (gray mouse lemur). The record is from RNAcentral. Lineage: Eukaryota; Metazoa; Chordata; Mammalia; Primates; Cheirogaleidae.
AAUGUGCAGAGGGACAGUUGUCAAAAGAAUAACUGCUGGCUGGCCAGUGAGCUCAUGGGUGUAGUGGUGCACUGUGCGAGGGCAGGUCUUUCGCUAGCACCACAGGGGUCUCUGGCCCAGUGAGUGGAGUUCGACAGUCAUGCUUGCUACAAGU